RNAcentral lists this ribosomal RNA (83 nucleotides) under uncultured bacterium. RNAcentral's name for it is "partial 16S ribosomal RNA". The record is from RNAcentral.
UGAGGAACAUGACCUUCGGCGGGGGGAUAGCCGGCCCAACGGCCGGGUAAUACCGCGUACGACCACAUGGGGGACAUCCCUGG